Molecule: long non-coding RNA, 780 nt
Filed under: Mus musculus (house mouse)
Lineage: Eukaryota; Metazoa; Chordata; Mammalia; Rodentia; Muridae
Description: predicted gene, 33195, transcript variant 10 (Gm33195)
Source: RNAcentral
AGUGCUUUCCUGCGGACGUGCGCUGCUGCCCAGCCUCAGGCUCCAGUCCUGCGCUGGCUGCUGCUGGCUGUCGUCAGCGAUGCCGCCGCCGGCCACAAGGUGGCAGUGCCGUGCUGCGUGGCUACACGCCCCUGGAAGCACCGGACCAGCCUUGGUCUGGCAAAAGUUUUCCAGUCUUUCCAGCAGAUGCGCCCAGGCCGUGAGCCCUCCCGGGCGGCCUGGAGGACUCCCGAAAGAAGCCUGGUGUAACUGAGUCUGGAAUUUUUGCUGGGCUUGCUAGGUCUACACUCUCCCACCUGUGCUCCGAGGAGAGGUGUAGACUAUCUCUUGGAUUUUGCUUGGAGGAUGUCCUUUCCGGACUCAGGACCUAGGAGAGACCAGCAGGAAACAGAACAGAGUCUACAUAGGUGAAUAUCAAAGAAUCACCUGGAGAGAUUUACAGAUGUUUGUAGCUGGAGCCUACUCACCUACAGAGACCUCCUACAGAGGGGCUCUGCCCUGGCCUUUUGGGAUUCAGAGCUGAGGCGGGACACAGAGUUCGACAAAGCCAGAAGACUGAUAAUCUCAGACCUAACUGUACUGGGAGCUGGGAGCUGGGAGCUGUUGGCUUCAGGAAACUUAACCCUCUCUUGUUUAUUCUAUGGCCGAAAACUGCUGACUUCUUUUCGCUUUAACUCUGUGCUCUGGAGAAACUUAACUCUUUGUGCUUAAAUAAGCACUGGGGGUCACUUAACUCUUUGUUACUAUUCUGUGCUUUAAUAAACGCUGAGCAUUCUUCAA